UAAAAAUAAAAUAAAAUAAAUAAUAGGCAUUUAUAGAGAAAUUGGGGCACACGGUCGUGGGGCAUGCCCGUGUGCUCUAAUAUCAGCCCGUGCAUUUCGUAGUUUUUGAAAUUAAGCGCAUUAGUGUACACGGCCAUGUUGCACAGCCGUGUCGAUCUCCGUUCGCUUCUCCCACGCCUGUGUAUGCAGGUGCAUGCCC
RNAcentral lists this long non-coding RNA (199 nucleotides) under Gossypium barbadense (sea-island cotton). RNAcentral describes it as "long non-coding RNA (GBAR_LNC003321)". The record is from RNAcentral. Lineage: Eukaryota; Viridiplantae; Streptophyta; Magnoliopsida; Malvales; Malvaceae.